Molecule: unclassified non-coding RNA, 810 nt
Filed under: Hevea brasiliensis (rubber tree)
Lineage: Eukaryota; Viridiplantae; Streptophyta; Magnoliopsida; Malpighiales; Euphorbiaceae
Source: RNAcentral
GGGUCAGUCAGCUGGUGCACAUAUUGCUGCUUGUGCUCUGGUGGAGCAGGCAAUCAAGGAGAACAGUGAAGGAGAAAGCAUUACUUGGAGUGUUUCCCAGAUUAAGGCUUAUUUUGGUCUAUCUGGAGGGUACAAUUUGUUGAACCUGGUAGAUUACUUCCACAGCCGUGGUUUGUACCGUUCCAUCUUUCUAAGCAUAAUGGAAGGAGAAGACUCUUUACGAAGAUUUUCUCCUGAAGUAAUUGUACAGGACCCCACCUUAAAGAAUGCAGUUUCUCUCCUACCUCCUAUUAUUCUUUUUCAUGGUACUGAUGAUUAUUCCAUUCCAUUUGAUGCCAGCAAAAAUUUUGCUGAAACUCUUCAAAGAGUUGGAGUUAGAGCUGAAUCAAUUUUAUAUGAAGGGAAGACUCAUACGGAUGUGUUCCUUCAGGAUCCAAUGAGAGGUGGCAAAGAUCAGAUGUUUGAAGAUUUAGUUGCAAUCGUUCAUGCUGGAGAUCCAGAAGCCCAGGAAAAAGAUGCAGGGGCUCCUCCAAGAAGACGUCUUGUUCCUGAAUUCAUGCUACAGGUGGCGCGCAGAGUCAGCCCUUUCUAACUGUUCCCAAACACUUUUAACUUCCCAACUACUAACCAUAAAACCCCAACUGAUGUAAAUAUCACUAAUGGGAGUUGAUCAUUUUUCAUCAUCUGUUUCGUGUGGCCUUUACACUGGUCUUCCUCUUGUUGUUGUUCUUCUUAUUUUAAUAUUUUUCCCAUAUAGAUGGAGGGUUCCUUUCUUUAUGUUGGAGACUAUUCAGGCUCAAAGCAACAUUC